CCCAAAUCCAAAAAAGAGGGGGCCCAAUGGCCCAAAAACUUAAACCAAUUUCAAAAAGCCAAAAACCCUAGGGUUUCUGGCACCGCUGCCCUUUUGCCACGUCAGCACUCCUCGUCCCAAGGCCUGACACUUUUUUUGUCGCCGUUUCACCAAAAUAGCCAAGGGUCUGCCUUUUCAUCAUCGUUUACUCUCCAAGGAUACCUACAAAAGAAUGAAAAAAGGACAGAGACCAUGCACAAGCAACAGACGCAGAACAGUAAUAGAAACAACAACAUAAAAUAGUAAACAAUGUUGUAAAUCAGUUAUAAAAGCCACCACAAUUAAUGUAAUAUGGGAGACAAAAAAAAAAGAAGAGUAAUCAAAAACAAAGUUCAAAAAUCCAAAAGGUGAUUUUUUUUAUCUUUUAUUUUUGAAAACAUAUAAAAAUAAUAAAAUAAAAACGAAAUCUAUUUACCUAUAUCACCAUAUUCUCCCUCCGUUUGGAAAGACCGACAGAUCCUCGGGGUUCGUCGAAUGGUCUCGACAAAAGAAGAUAGAACCGAAAGGUUUCCUUUGAUUUUCUUUUUUUUGGUGGGCUUUUCGGGAAUUUUGGUCUCAAAUCGGGGAUGAGGGAAGUAAAAAGGUUAGAAUGGGCCUUUUCUUCGUAAUUUUCAACCACCAGGGACGACGGCCACCGUCACCGACUACCAGUGGUUGCGGUGGACCAACGGAGGACCUUUAGGCCGGAUUUAAAGAUAUGAGAGAAAGAAAUUUUUAAAAAAAAACAAUAGGUAGAAUGAAUUUUUGGUAAAAUUUUAUGGCUCUUAUAGGUGAUGUAAACGACGUUGUUUAGGGUUGGCUUUAAUAGCCCCAAAAUGGCACCGUUUUGGCCUUCAACCAGACGACCCGACUCAAUUUCUUGGCAGAUCCACUUGUUUUUGUGACUGGGGUAUAAUUGCUACCUUAGUCCUUCCGCUUUUUAGGCGGUUUUCAAUCUGGUCUCGUUUCUUUUAUUUAAAAUUUUUACCCUAUAAUUUUAGUUUCAUUUUAUUUUUGUCCCCUAUAGAAUGUGCGUUUAGUGAGCUUGGGAAUAAUUUCCCAACUGGUCCUUGCCCUUUUACGCGCGUUAUAUUUUGGACCAUUUUGAGAAACGAUGCGCAUAAGGACAAGGGAUAUUUUCCUAUUUGCUCACUGUCCUUUUUAGCGCGUUGCACAUUAAUCCUUAUUAAUCUAUUUAUUUAUUUUAUUACAAAUUACACCCUUAAUUUCAUUUACAUUUUGAUUUAGUCUCUUAUUUUCAAUCUUUUAUAAACUACUUUCCUUUAUAUUUAUUUAUUUAUUUAUUUCCUUAUUCUUUUUAUAUUUAAAAUUUGUAUUGUUUUCUUAUAUGCAUAUUUUAUCGCCCUAUUAUUAUUGUUGUUGUUGUUUAUUUAUUUUCUUUGUUUAUUUAUAUUAGUAUUAGAAUAGUAAAUAUUAUGUGAUUAUCGCUAUUAUAUUUGUUAUGAAUUGGUUUCAUUAGUAUAUUUAUAUUAUUGUCAUUCACUAAGCGUGACAUUUUUACUUUUCGUAUACCAUCGUUCCAUUUUUUAUACAUUACCAUUUUAUUUUAUUUCAUUAAAAUCACAUCAUGCAUCAUGUUUAGACAUAUUUACCCAUUGUUGUAUUAUACCCAAAUAAGAUAGAUACACGUUAUUUUAAAUAUUACAUUUGUCGUUACUCGAUGAAUAGCUUUUUUUAGAAAAAUAAAGCAAUGUUCCAUAUUUGGAUAUUCGAGAAGUCGUGCCCUAACUUACAGGGUUUCAACUUUCUCGAUGAACUUAGAUGACCGAAUAUCCUUUUAAAAUUAAAAUACAUGAGAUUUAAUUAAAUAAUAAAAUAAAAAGCAAGCUUAUUUUUCGAGGAUUCAAGAUGUCGUGUCUUAACUUACGGGAUGUGAGCUUUUGUUACCUCGAGAUAAAAGGCCCUUUUACAUAUGUUUUAAUUAAAAAUAAUAUUAUGCAAAGUGGGGUCAUGUCUUAAGCUCUUUUCAAAUUUUCAAUUUCUUGACACUAAAGACAUUAGUUACCAAUUUUGGGCAAAACAAGGGUGCUAAUCAUUUUUCGUGUGUAACCGACUCCCGAACCUAUUUUCUGGAUUUUGUAGACUGUAAAACAUUGUUUUAACAAAUUAAAUCUCUUAUUAAAAUGAUUAUAUUUCAAGGUAACCCAAUCACACAUCCUGAAAGUGAUUGGUGACGAAUCCAUCUUUGUUUUCAAAAUAUAAGUCAAUGUAAAAAAAAAAGGUUUCGACAAACUUUUAACUCUUAAAUAAAAUUUGAGAUUUCUUACUCAAUAAUGCUUCAAUGGUAUCUGGCUUUCGCACUGACCGUCAGGAUGGGUGAGGAGUGUUACAUUAUCUCUGAGCAUUUUCUCACUUGUUGCUAAUGUAUUAUCAGGACAUCCUGUGCUGAGAUAUCCCAUGAUAUUUCAACAAAGAAGAGGAAGGAAAUUGUCGAGCGAGCAGCACAGUUGGAUGCUGUUGAAACCAACAAAUUGGCUAGGUUGCGCAGCCAAGAAGACGAGUGAAGAUUGAUCCUCCUCGAAUGUUGGUUUUGCAUUUUGGUAAUAUUUGAUCGUUUAGUAAGUUUCAGAACUUCGGAUCAAAUGUUUUCAAGUAUCUUUAUUUCACUUGAAUUGCAUGUUUCCCUACCAUGAUUGAGUUAUCUAAUUUCAAGUAUCUUCAAUCCAUUUGGUUUUUACAAUUUCGUCCACUACAAGUAUCUCACAGGUAUUUGUCUACAUCAACUUUAAUAUACGCAGUUAGAUGUAGG
RNAcentral lists this long non-coding RNA (2788 nucleotides) under Gossypium barbadense (sea-island cotton). RNAcentral's name for it is "long non-coding RNA (GBAR_LNC006687)". The record is from RNAcentral. Lineage: Eukaryota; Viridiplantae; Streptophyta; Magnoliopsida; Malvales; Malvaceae.